UAGGCUCAAAAUUUAAUCCAGAUAAUUCGGACCAUAGUUUAAAAUCCAAAGAAAAUGGCGGUAUUUCAUAUAAUCAGGGGAACCUGCUUCUUAAUUCGAUACUCCACGAAAUCCAAACCUAAUUUUGCAAUUCCCAGCCUGUGUACUGCUGUCGUCAGUCAACCUCUAAAAGAUAAUUGACAUAAAAUAUAUUAUCAAUAUUAAAGUCAAGUCAAAGUGCAGCUAAUAAUUAGGAGAAGGUGGGUUACAAUCUCAAUAAAGAUACAAAUAAUCUUUUAUAAUAAAAUUUUAAAGGGGGACUUGAUAGUAAUGAUCACAAAACAUUAUUAUUAAUAUUAUUCUGAAAUACGUACAAUAUCCCCCGCCCCCCCCUUCAUAGGUUA
Molecule: ribosomal RNA, 383 nt
Filed under: Henlea petushkovi
Lineage: Eukaryota; Metazoa; Annelida; Clitellata; Enchytraeida; Enchytraeidae
Description: partial 12S small subunit ribosomal RNA
Source: RNAcentral